AGAAUCAACGCUGGCGGCGUGCCUAACACAUGCAAGUCGAACGCGAAAGGGGAGCAAUCCCUGAGUAGAGUGGCAAACGGGUGAGUAACACGUGGGUGACCUGCCUUCGAGUGGGGGAUAACGUUCCGAAAGGAACGCUAAUGCCGCAUGACAUCCUGCUUUUGGAAAAGCGGAGAUCAAAGCUGGGGAUUCGCAAGAACCUAGCGCUUGAAGAGGGGCCCGCGCCUGAUUAGCUAGUUGGUGAGGUAACGGCUCACCAAGGCUACGAUC
RNAcentral lists this ribosomal RNA (270 nucleotides) under uncultured soil bacterium. Its description in RNAcentral is "partial 16S ribosomal RNA". It matches the Rfam family "Bacterial small subunit ribosomal RNA", at positions 26 to 281 of the family's 1533-position model. The record is from RNAcentral.